AUACGGAGGGUGCAAGCGUUACUCGGAAUCACUGGGCGUAAAGCGCGCGUAGACGGCUUAUUAAGUCAGAUGUGAAAUCCCCGGGCUCAACCUGGGAACUGCAUCUGAUACUGGUAAGCUAGAGUUUUGGAGAGGGAAGUAGAAUUUCAGGUGUAGCGGUGAAAUGCAUAGAGAUCUGAAGGAAUACCAGUGGCGAAGGCGACUUCCUGGCCAAAAACUGACGCUGAGGUGCGAAAGCGUGGGUAGCAAACGGGAUUAGAAACCCUAGUAGUCC
Molecule: ribosomal RNA, 274 nt
Filed under: uncultured bacterium
Lineage: Bacteria
Description: partial 16S ribosomal RNA
Rfam family: Bacterial small subunit ribosomal RNA
Source: RNAcentral